Molecule: ribosomal RNA, 253 nt
Filed under: uncultured bacterium
Lineage: Bacteria
Description: partial 16S ribosomal RNA
Rfam family: Bacterial small subunit ribosomal RNA
Source: RNAcentral
UACGAAGGGGGCUAGCGUUGUUCGGAAUUACUGGGCGUAAAGCGCACGUAGGCGGAUAUUUAAGUCAGGGGUGAAAUCCCGGGGCUCAACCCCGGAACUGCCUUUGAUACUGGGUAUCUAGAGUCCGGAAGAGGUGAGUGGAAUUCCGAGUGUAGAGGUGAAAUUCGUAGAUAUUAGGAAGAACACCGGUGGCGAAGGCGGCCCACUGGAUCGGUACUGACGCUGAGGUGCGAAAGCGUGGGGAGCAAACAGG